RNAcentral lists this ribosomal RNA (253 nucleotides) under uncultured bacterium. Its description in RNAcentral is "partial 16S ribosomal RNA". It matches the Rfam family "Bacterial small subunit ribosomal RNA", at positions 524 to 776 of the family's 1533-position model. The record is from RNAcentral.
UACGUAGGUGGCAAGCGUUGUCCGGAUUUACUGGGCGUAAAGAGCGCGCAGGCGGUCGGAUAAGUCGAAUGUGAAAGCCCCCGGCUCAACUGGGGAGGGUCGUUCGAUACUGUUCGACUCGAAGGCAGGAGAGGGAAGUGGAAUUCCCGGUGUAGUGGUGAAAUGCGUAGAUAUCGGGAGGAACACCAGUGGCGAAGGCGACUUCCUGGCCUGUUCUUGACGCUGAGGCGCGAAAGCUAGGGGAGCAAACGGG